This is a long non-coding RNA of Diabrotica virgifera virgifera (western corn rootworm), 2310 nucleotides long. RefSeq lists it as uncharacterized. The record is from RefSeq and is a predicted model, not a curated record. Lineage: Eukaryota; Metazoa; Arthropoda; Insecta; Coleoptera; Chrysomelidae. The transcript is spliced from 2 exons.
GACGUAGCGUAGACGUAGACGCAACGGAGACGCACUGGAAAAGAUCAACACCGAAUUUUGUGUACUCGUGUUUAUAGAUGAACGCAAGCGCCUGACGGAACGUAAGAGAAACGUAACGUAACAUAAGAGAUGACCAACUUUCAUCUUUUACAGUGCGUUUCUUCCGUCUGGCCAAUCAUAAGGCAGCAUUUUGUUCUGUCACUCAAAGUGGACCCGCCCCGCCCCCUCAUUCCUUGUGUUGUGUAAAAAGUUGAUUGUCAACAUAUUCGAAUUUUGUUAAUUAUUUGUUAAUACAAUGGAUGUUAAGUUAUUAAUUUAAUAAAAAUAUAUCAUAGAGUCUUUUCAAUAUUUCAGAUAAAUAUGAGUUGUUAUUAGCCUAAUUCGUGGUUAUCCACACAUAUACGAUAGGUAAAUCCAAUAAACAUUUAAAUACCAGGAAAUGGAACAAAAUAGUUGGAAAUCCCACGGCAUGCGGCACCAAAGAGCAUACUUUCGUUUAUUUCCUAAUCCAUGUAACACACAAAACAGAUAAAUAUUAUAAUAAAUAAUAGUAUAAGUAUAAAUAAAUAAACACAAAGUUUGUUUACUGUUCGUAUAAUUUAUAGGCUAUGUUGUUGAAUUAGAAUUAAGUCAUUGUUUACUCUUUCUACUCAUGCGCAAAAAUUCCGCUACGUCGAUCUAUAAAUUGACAUAAUAUUUUCUUCCGUCUCCAGUCCGUUUCUUACGUCUACGUUGCGUCUACGUCUACGCUACGUCAAACUAUAAAUCCAACUUUAUGUUACGUUACGUUUCUCUUACGUUCCGUCAGGCGCUUGCGUUCAUCUAUAAACACGAGUACACAAAAUUCGGUGUUGAUCUUUUCCAGUGCGUCUCCGUUGCGUCUACGUCUACGCUACGUCAAACUAUAAAUCCAACUUUCAAACAUAACCUUAUAAACAAACAGUUGUUUAUUUAGAGUUAUUUAUUAUUGUUUUCUCAUAUUUUGCAAUUGUUAAGUUGGUUUACUUCGAAUUUAAUGUGCAUUACUGUGGUAUUUCUCCAGUUUUCUAAGAAGGUUGGUGAUUUUGAAUUGGGAUUAUGAUGAAUUUAACCCAAAGGCAAUGUGUGUGUUUAUUUAUGUGGCAAAAUUCCAGGCACGUAAGAACGUUUGCAGAAUGAAAAGAAAUUGUUCAAUGUGAUAAACUUUCUAUGAACAGUCCUCAGUGUUGUUACAUUAACUUUUAAAUAUGCAUCUUGAGGAGCAGGCCUUUGCAGAAAUACUGAAAAGCGGGUUGCAAAACAACGCAAAAUAAAAUAAACGAAAUAUGUCUUGGAAUGAUAAUUUUGUAAUUCUGUAGGCACAUCUAUUGAGAAGUUACAACCAGUGGCAAAGUGCCUUAAGGGAAUCUAUGACAUAUAUAAUUGAAGGUAUGAGUAUAUGUUUCAAAUCGUUGGAUGAUUCUGAGAAAGUGUAAAUUUUUUUCAUGAAUUUGGUACAUAACCGUCUUUAUCUAAACUCUAAAAAUCAUUGACAUCUGUUUUGAAGAACCAUGUUCCUAGAAACCAUUGAUAACAAAUAUAGACGGUUACCUCUGCAUUCGUUGUAUCAUCUUACUACUCUAUCCAUAGUGAGUCUAAUUUUUAAAUCUAUAAUAAUUGUUUACGUGCUGGUUUCAUAAAGAUGCUUCAAAAAUCUAUAUGGGCCUUACUAGGCAGCACAGCCAUGCCUUUAAUAGUUUUUCCAAUUAUAUUUUCAAUAUGCUUAUUCUAGUUAAGAUUGCGGGACAAAAAGACCACUAAAUAUUUGAGUUCAUUUUUAGGUAUCAGCAUUGGCUCUACAGCCCAUGGUGGGUCUUGGCCUGUUCCAGAAUCAGCUUCCACUCUUUCCUAUCCUUUGCUUGGCUUUCCAAUUUCUCACUUGAGCAUGAAUUUUUGGUAUAUAUGGGAUUAUAUUGUGAUAACGACCAGAUCUAUGAAAGAAUAGUAUGUUGUUAAAGAAGAUUGUGGUGACACUAUUCAUGAAUAUCUGAUAAUAUUGGUUAAUGUGAAUGGAGUCCAAAAUGGGGUUUAGGCUGUUAUAUAAAAAACUAGGUCAUUAGCAUAUGGAAGUAGGGCGACAUUAUCUGGUAUUAAAUUAUGUGAAUGAGGAGAAUUAAACCUAAAAACUCUAUUUAUUCUGCUAAUCAAUAUGAAUUUAAUAUAUUUUAAUAUAAAACAUAUGUUAUUCUUUCUAGGGACACCUCCUCUGAAGGAAUUACAAUUAUUUGCCAGUAUGUCAAAUGAAUUUUCAACAUCAGUCAUACUUUCAUGAAUUUAUUGAUGAAAAUAAAA